UUAGAUCACGGUCAGCAUGCUAUCCGUAACCCAACACCAAUUAGAGAUCAGGCGGCUAGCCCCGAAGGGUAUCCGUUGCAAUCCUCGACCCCAAACAUCACAUCUAUCAAGGGCUAUAACACUCCCGAAGGAGCUACCUCCCCCCAAUUAUUUUAUGACAUUCAAAAUCGACGUUGACCUGCCAAGCGAAGAAGUGCACCCAGAGUUUCCCCUAAGUUGAUUCCCACCGGCAUGACUGACUUCAAUCGUUUCCCUUUCAAA
RNAcentral lists this ribosomal RNA (261 nucleotides) under Gigaspora margarita. RNAcentral's name for it is "partial 28S ribosomal RNA". Lineage: Eukaryota; Fungi; Glomeromycota; Glomeromycetes; Diversisporales; Gigasporaceae. The record is from RNAcentral.